GUCCUUUUGAUUUUUAUUUAAGGUCUGACCUGCCCACUGAUUUAUUUAAUGGCCGCGGUAUUUUGACCGUGCAAAGGUAGCAUAAUAAUUUGUCUUUUAAUUGAAGGCUUGUAUGAAUGGUUGGACGAGAAAAUUACUUUCUUUAUAAUAUAGUUAUAAAUUUUAUUUUUUAGUUAAAAAGCUAAAAUUUUAUUGUAGGACGAGAAGACCCUAUAGAACUUUAUAUUUAUUUUUAUAUUAAUAUUUUUGGUUAAUUAUAUAUUAUAUUUUUAUAAAUAUUUUGUUGGGGCGACAAGAAAAUUUAUUUAACUUUUUUUUAUUAAUUUCAUUAAUUAAUGUAUAAAUGAUCCUUUAUUAAGGAUAAUUAGAAUAAGUUACCUUAGGGAUAACAGCGUAAUUUUUUUGGAGAGUUCUUAUCGAUAAAAAAGUUUGCGA
This 435-nucleotide ribosomal RNA is filed under the name Sigara platensis. Its description in RNAcentral is "partial large subunit ribosomal RNA". Lineage: Eukaryota; Metazoa; Arthropoda; Insecta; Hemiptera; Corixidae. The record is from RNAcentral.